Long non-coding RNA from Sapajus apella (tufted capuchin), 847 nucleotides. RefSeq lists it as uncharacterized. The transcript is spliced from 3 exons. Lineage: Eukaryota; Metazoa; Chordata; Mammalia; Primates; Cebidae. The record is from RefSeq and is a predicted model, not a curated record.
UCCAGACUUGACAGUCAGCACGACAAACACUUAAUGACUCCUGACUUCCGGGAGGCGUCAUACUUCACACCCGAUGGGCUACAGUCUGUAGUGGGUCUGCUCCUCCCCAUGUUCGUGAAAGACUGGCAGAGGUAUACUCGUAAAGUUUUAUUCUCCCAUCUUCUUCUGCUCAUUCGUAAGGGCUUCCAGACACACAUAACUUACUGAUAGUCGGACUCUGAAAGAAGCUCCUCCAAGAACGCCUGCUGGUUGCUGGCUUGUUUGGUGACUUGGAGAUGGUGGUAUGUUGGGAUGAUGCCCAGGAGGUCCAGGAAUAGACCUUGCAGAAGAAUAUGCCCUGGGUGGCUGCUGGGCCCAGAACGAUGAGAUUGGAGCCAACCUGAACCCAACCCGCAACGUGGAGAUGAUCCCGGCCAACCCAGAGAACUGUGCGUGAGAAAAAUAAAUGUUCACAGGGGUUGGCAUAAUUUUUCCUGUAAAGGGUCAGACAGUCUCAGAUGCACUUUCUCAACUCUGCCCCUGCAGCGCAGAGGGAGCCACAAACAACACAGAAGCACAUGAACGUGCCUGGGUCCAAUAAAACUUUAUUUGUAGACACUAAAAUUGGAAAUUCACAUAAUUCUUUGUGUCAGGAAAUAUUCCUUUAUUGAUUUUUUUUAACCAUUUAAAAACAUAAACUAUUCUUAGCUCAUGGGCUACGGAAAAGUAGGCAGUAGGCUGGAAGUGUCUCACUGGCAGGAGUUUGCCCAGCUUUGCUGUAAGCCAUGGAGAUGUGUGAACUUUCUUUGUUACGGAGCAAAACUGAUUAAUAUACCCUUCCAUUUGUGCAAUCUUGAGCAAAUUACUC